CUUGGUCAUUUAGAGGAAGUAAAAGUCGUAACAAGGUUUCCGUAGGUGAACCUGCGGAAGGAUCAUUAAUGAAACUUGGAGAUUCUGAUGCUGGCGUUUAUUCGCAUGUGCUCGGUCUCCUUAAUCCAUUCAACACCUGUGCACCUUUGUGAAGGAGAACGAAAGUUCACCUUCAUUUUAUAUACAAACUCUUUAUUGAAAUCUGAAUGUUCAUUGGCCGAAAGGCUCUAAAAUAAAACAACUUUUAACAACGGAUCUCUUGGCUCUCGCAUCGAUGAAGAACGCAGCGAAAUGCGAUAAGUAAUGUGAAUUGCAGAAUUCAGUGAAUCAUCGAAUCUUUGAACGCACCUUGCGCUCCCUGGUAUUCCGGGGAGCACGCCUGUUCGAGUGUCAUGAAGCUCUCAAAUGGAAUCCUUUAUUGUGAUUUUCAUUUGGAUUUGGACUCUGCUGUGGUCAAAUACAGCUGGUCUUAAAAAUAUUAGCUUGGUCCUUGAUAAUCUUGGUUCUACUCGGCGUGAUAAUUAUCUAACGUUGAGGACAUUUCUUUAUUGAGAUGGCCAGAAUUGUUUAAGAACUGCUUCUAAUCGUCUUCGGACAUAACACUUUCAAAUCUGACCUCGAAUCAGGUGGGACUACCCGCUGAACUUAAGCAUAUCAAUAAGCGGAGGAAAAGAAACUAACAAGGAUUCCCCUAGUAACGGCGAGUGAAGCGGGAUGAGCUCAAAUUUAAAAUCUGGCGGUCUUUGGCCGUCCGAGUUGUAAUCUAGAGAAGCGUUUUCCGCGCUGGACCGUGUACAAGUUUCCUGGAACGGAACGUCAUAGAGGGUGAGAAUCCCGUCCUUGACACGGACUACCAGUGCUCUGUGAUGCGCUCUCAACGAGUCGAGUUGUUUGGGAUUGCAGCUCAAAAUGGGAGGUAAAUUCCUUCUAAAGCUAAAUAUUGGCGAGAGACCGAUAGCGAACAAGUACCGUGAGGGAAAGAUGAAAAGCACUUUGGAAAGAGAGUUAAACAGUACGUGAAAUUGUUAAAAGGGAAACGCUUGAAGU
Molecule: ribosomal RNA, 1047 nt
Filed under: uncultured Basidiomycota
Lineage: Eukaryota; Fungi; Basidiomycota
Description: eukaryotic LSU rRNA
Rfam family: Eukaryotic large subunit ribosomal RNA (bases 613-1047)
Source: RNAcentral